This 1986-nucleotide ribosomal RNA is filed under the name human gut metagenome. Its description in RNAcentral is "bacterial LSU rRNA". It matches the Rfam family "Bacterial large subunit ribosomal RNA", at positions 497 to 2499 of the family's 2925-position model. The record is from RNAcentral.
AGUACCGUGAGGGAAAGGUGAAAAGCACCCCGGGAGGGGAGUGAAAUAGAACCUGAAACCGUGUGCCUACAACAAGUUCGAGCCCGUUAAUGGGUGAGAGCGUGCCUUUUGUAGAAUGAACCGGCGAGUUACGAUAUGAUGCGAGGUUAAGUUGAAGAGACGGAGCCGUAGGGAAACCGAGUCUUAAUAGGGCGCUUUAGUAUCAUGUCGUAGACCCGAAACCAUGUGACCUACCCAUGAGCAGGGUGAAGGUGAGGUAAAACUCACUGGAGGCCCGAACCAGGGCACGUUGAAAAGUGCUUGGAUGACUUGUGGGUAGCGGAGAAAUUCCAAACGAACUUGGAGAUAGCUGGUUCUCUCCGAAAUAGCUUUAGGGCUAGCGUCGAUGUUAAGUCUCUUGGAGGUAGAGCACUGUUUGAUUGAGGGGUCCAUCCCGGAUUACCAAUAUCAGAUAAACUCCGAAUGCCAAUGAGAUAUAAUCGGCAGUCAGACUGCGAGUGCUAAGAUCCGUAGUCGAAAGGGAAACAGCCCAGACCACCAGCUAAGGUCCCAAAAUAUAUGUUAAGUGGAAAAGGAUGUGGGGUUGCACAGACAACUAGGAUGUUAGCUUAGAAGCAGCUAUUCAUUCAAAGAGUGCGUAAUAGCUCACUAGUCGAGUGACCCUGCGCCGAAAAUGUACCGGGGCUAAAACAUAUUACCGAAGCUGUGGAUACCUAUUAUAGGUAUGGUAGGAGAGCGUUCUAUGUGUGAAGAAGGUGUACCGUGAGGAGCGCUGGAACGCAUAGAAGUGAGAAUGCCGGUAUGAGUAGCGAAAGACAGGUGAGAAUCCUGUCCACCGUAAGACUAAGGUUUCCAGGGGAAGGCUCGUCCGCCCUGGGUUAGUCGGGACCUAAGGAGAGACCGAAAGGUGUAUCCGAUGGCCAACAGGUUGAUAUUCCUGUACUAGAGUAUAUAGUGAAGGAGGGACGCAGUAGGCUAACUAAAGCGUGCGAUUGGAAGAGCACGUCUAAGCAGUGAGGUGUGAUAUGAGUCAAAUGCUUGUAUCUCUAACAUUGAGCUGUGAUGGGGAGCGAAGUUAAGUAGCGAAGUUAGUGAUGUCACACUGCCAAGAAAAGCUUCUAGCGUUAAUUAUACUCUACCCGUACCGCAAACCGACACAGGUAGUCGAGGCGAGUAGCCUCAGGUGAGCGAGAGAACUCUCGUUAAGGAACUCGGCAAAAUGGCCCCGUAACUUCGGGAGAAGGGGCGCUGGCUUUAAGUCAGCCGCAGUGAAUAGGCCCAAGCAACUGUUUAUCAAAAACACAGCUCUCUGCUAAAUCGUAAGAUGAUGUAUAGGGGGUGACGCCUGCCCGGUGCUGGAAGGUUAAGAGGAGCGCUUAGCGUAAGCGAAGGUGUGAAUUGAAGCCCCAGUAAACGGCGGCCGUAACUAUAACGGUCCUAAGGUAGCGAAAUUCCUUGUCGGGUAAGUUCCGACCCGCACGAAAGGCGUAAUGAUUUGGGCACUGUCUCAACGAGAGACUCGGUGAAAUUUUAGUACCUGUGAAGAUGCAGGUUACCCGCGACAGGACGGAAAGACCCCAUGGAGCUUUACUGCAGUUUGAUAUUGAGUAUCUGUACCACAUGUACAGGAUAGGUAGGAGCCUAUGAAAUCGGGACGCUAGUUUCGGUGGAGGCGUUGUUGGGAUACUACCCUUGUGUUAUGGCUACUCUAACCUAGAUAGGUGAUCCCUAUCGGAGACAGUGUCUGACGGGCAGUUUGACUGGGGCGGUCGCCUCCUAAAAGGUAACGGAGGCGCCCAAAGGUUCCCUCAGAAUGGUUGGAAAUCAUUCGCAGAGUGUAAAGGUAUAAGGGAGCUUGACUGCGAGAGCUACAACUCGAGCAGGGACGAAAGUCGGGCUUAGUGAUCCGGUGGUUCCGCAUGGAAGGGCCAUCGCUCAACGGAUAAAAGCUACCCUGGGGAUAACAGGCUGAUCUCCCCCAAGAGU